RNAcentral lists this ribosomal RNA (117 nucleotides) under Danio rerio (zebrafish). The record is from RNAcentral. Lineage: Eukaryota; Metazoa; Chordata; Actinopteri; Cypriniformes; Danionidae.
AGCCACAGCCAUAUCACCCUGCAGCCCAAGACCGGUUACUCACUGAAGCUAAGCAGGGCUGAGCCUGGUCAGUACCUGGAUGGGAGACCACUUGGGAAAACCAAUUUGCUGUUGGAA